AAACCGGUUUUAUUCAAAACCAUCCAUCAGUCAGUUUAAUACAGCU
This is a non-coding RNA of Fukomys damarensis (Damara mole-rat), 46 nucleotides long. Lineage: Eukaryota; Metazoa; Chordata; Mammalia; Rodentia; Bathyergidae. The record is from Rfam.